GAUGAACGCUGGCGGCGUGCCUAAUACAUGCAAGUCGAGCGAACGGACGAGAAGCUUGCUUCUCUGAUGUUAGCGGCGGACGGGUGAGUAACACGUGGAUAACCUACCUAUAAGACUGGGAUAACUUCGGGAAACCGGAGCUAAUACCGGAUAAUAUUUUGAACCGCAUGGUUCAAAGGUGAAAGACUGUCUUGCUGUCACUUAUAGAUGGAUCCGCGCUGCAUUAGCUAGUUGGUAAGGUAACGGCUUACCAAGGCAACGAUGCAUAGCCGACCUGAGAGGGUGAUCGGCCACACUGGAACUGAGACACGGUCCAGACUCCUACGGGAGGCAGCAGUAGGGAAUCUUCCGCAAUGGGCGAAAGCCUGACGGAGCAACGCCGCGUGAGUGAUGAAGGUCUUCGGAUCGUAAAACUCUGUUAUUAGGGAAGAACAUAUGUGUAAGUAACUGUGCACAUCUUGACGGUACCUAAUCAGAAAGCCACGGCUAACUACGUG
RNAcentral lists this ribosomal RNA (497 nucleotides) under uncultured bacterium. RNAcentral describes it as "partial 16S ribosomal RNA". It matches the Rfam family "Bacterial small subunit ribosomal RNA", at positions 28 to 507 of the family's 1533-position model. The record is from RNAcentral.